Molecule: ribosomal RNA, 394 nt
Filed under: uncultured bacterium
Lineage: Bacteria
Description: bacterial SSU rRNA
Rfam family: Bacterial small subunit ribosomal RNA
Source: RNAcentral
CUUGCACAAUGGAGGAAACUCUGAUGCAGCGACGCCGCGUGAGCGAAGAAGCCUUUCGGGGUGUAAAGCUCUUACGCCAGGGACGAUAAUGACGGUACCUGGAGAAGCAGCUGCGGCUAACUACGUGCCAGCAGCCGCGGUAAUACGUAGGCAGCAAGCGUUGUUCGGAAUUACUGGGCGUAAAGGGUGCGUAGGCGGCGCUCUAAGUUUGGUGUGAAAUCUCCCGGCUUAACUGGGAGGGUGCACUGAAGACUGGGGCGCUCGAGUAUGUGAGAGGAUAGCGGAAUUCCUGGUGUAGCGGUGAAAUGCGUAGAGAUCAGGAGGAACACCUGCGGUGCGGACGGCUUUCUGGACCAUCACUGCCGCUGAGGCACGAAAGCGUGGGUAGCAAACA